GAUGAACGCUGGCGGCGUGCUUAACACAUGCAAGUCGAACGGAAAGGCCUGCUUUCCCUUGUGGGUUUCGGGUACUCGCGUGUCGAACGGGUGAGUACCACGUGCGUGAUCUGCCCCCAACUUUGGUAUAAGCCUGGGAAACUGGGUCUAAUCCCCGAUAGUACUGCAGGGUGGUGCCUGUGGUGGCAACCGAUUCUCUAGUGGUUGGGGCUGAGUUCGCGGCCUAUCAGCUUGUUGUUGGGGUAAUGGCAUACCAAGGCGGCUACGGGUAGCCGGCCGGGGACGGUGGACGGGCACAUUGGGACUGGGACACAGUCCAGAGGCCGACAGGAGGAGGGAGUGUGGAAUAAUGCACGAUGGGCGGAAGCAUGAAGCAGCGACGCCGGGUGGGGGAUGACGGCCUGCGGGUUGUAAUCUCCUGUCGACCGCGAGGAAGCCACCUGGUUGGAAGGGUGGUGACGGUAGUGUUAGAAAAAGGAACGGCUAACUACGUG
This 494-nucleotide ribosomal RNA is filed under the name uncultured bacterium. RNAcentral's name for it is "partial 16S ribosomal RNA". It matches the Rfam family "Bacterial small subunit ribosomal RNA", at positions 28 to 507 of the family's 1533-position model. The record is from RNAcentral.